GACGAACGCUGGCGGCGUGCCUAAUACAUGCAAGUCGAACGCAGUGGGGACGGGUGAGUAACCCGUGGGUAACCUCCCAUCAGAGGGGAUAACACUUGGAAACAGGUGCUAAUCCGAUACUGAUGGAUGGACCCGCGGUUCAUUAGCUAGUUGGUGGGGGAACGGCUCACCAAGGCCACGAUGCAUAGCGGACCUGAGAGGAGGAUCGGCCACACGGGGACUGAGACACGGCCCAGACUCCUACGGGAGGCAGCAGUGGGGAAUAUUCGGCAAUGGACGAAAGUCUGACCGAGCAACGCCGCGUGAGUGAAGAAGUUUUUCGGAUCGUAAAGCUCUGUUGUUAGAGAAGCGGUAUCUAACCAGAAAGCCACGGCUAACUACGUGCCAGCAGCCGCGGUAAUAC
Molecule: ribosomal RNA, 403 nt
Filed under: uncultured bacterium
Lineage: Bacteria
Description: partial 16S ribosomal RNA
Rfam family: Bacterial small subunit ribosomal RNA
Source: RNAcentral